ACGCUCGACACCUAAGGCAGCAGUGGGGAAUAUUGCACAAUGGGGGAAACCCUGAUGCAGCGACGCCGCGUGAGCGAAGAAGUAUUUCGGUAUGUAAAGCUCUAUCAGCAGGGAAGAAAGUGACGGUACCUGACUAAGAAGCACCGGCUAAAUACGUGCCAGCAGCCGACGGUAAUCUGAGGCGGCGUGGCGAAGGC
Molecule: ribosomal RNA, 197 nt
Filed under: uncultured bacterium
Lineage: Bacteria
Description: partial 16S ribosomal RNA
Rfam family: Bacterial small subunit ribosomal RNA
Source: RNAcentral